GACGAACGCUGGCGGCGUGCUUAGCACAUGCAAGUCGAACGGAAAGGCCCUGCUUUUGUGGGGUGCUCGAGUGGCGAACGGGUGAGUAACACGUGAGUAACCUGCCCUUGACUUUGGGAUAACUUCAGGAAACUGGGGCUAAUACCGGAUAGGAGCUCCUGCUGCAUGGUGGGGGUUGGAAAGUUUCGGCGGUUGGGGAUGGACUCGCGGCUUAUCAGCUUGUUGGUGGGGUAGUGGCUUACCAAGGCUUUGACGGGUAGCCGGCCUGAGAGGGUGACCGGCCACAUUGGGACUGAGAUACGGCCCAGACUCCUACGGGAGGCAGCAGUGGGGAAUAUUGCACAAUGGGCGGAAGCCUGAUGCAGCAACGCCGCGUGCGGGAUGACGGCCUUCGGGUUGUAAACCGCUUUCGCCUGAGACGAAGCGUGAGUGACGGUAAUGGGUAAAGAAGCACCGGCUAACUACGUG
Molecule: ribosomal RNA, 468 nt
Filed under: uncultured bacterium
Lineage: Bacteria
Description: partial 16S ribosomal RNA
Rfam family: Bacterial small subunit ribosomal RNA
Source: RNAcentral